RNAcentral lists this ribosomal RNA (1420 nucleotides) under uncultured bacterium. Its description in RNAcentral is "bacterial SSU rRNA". It matches the Rfam family "Bacterial small subunit ribosomal RNA". The record is from RNAcentral.
AGUUUGAUCCUGGCUCAGGAUGAACGCUAGCUACAGGCUUAACACAUGCAAGUCGAGGGGCAGCAUGGUCUUAGCUUGCUAAGGCCGAUGGCGACCGGCGCACGGGUGAGUAACACGUAUCCAACCUGCCGUCUACUCUUGGACAGCCUUCUGAAAGGAAGAUUAAUACAAGAUGGCAUCAUGAGUCCGCAUGUUCACAUGAUUAAAGGUAUUCCGGUAGACGAUGGGGAUGCGUUCCAUUAGAUAGUAGGCGGGGUAACGGCCCACCUAGUCUUUGGAAGGAUAGGGGUUUUUUGAAGGGGAAGGUCCCCCCCCCCUUGGGGAAUUGGGACAGCGGGUCCAAAAUUCCUUAGGGGGAGGCCACCAGUGGGGAAAUUUUGGUCAAAGGGCGGAGAACCCUGAACCCACCCCAAGUAGCCGUGAAGGGAUGACUCCCCCUAUGGGGUUGUAAAAUUUUUUUUAAUAAAGGAAUAAAGUUGGGGUAUGCAUACCCGUUUGCCAUGUACUUUAUGAAUAAGGAUCGGCUAACUCCGUGCCAGCAGCCGCGGUAAUACGGAGGAUCCGAGCGUUAUCCGGAUUUAUUGGGUUUAAAGGGAGCGUAGAUGGAUGUUUAAGUCAGUUGUGAAAGUUUGCGGCUCAACCGUAAAAUUGCAGUUGAUACUGGAUAUCUUGAGUGCAGUUGAGGCAGGCGGAAUUCGUGGUGUAGCGGUGAAAUGCUUAGAUAUCACGAAGAACUCCGAUUGCGAAGGCAGCCUGCUAAGCUGCAACUGACAUUGAGGCUCGAAAGUGUGGGUAUCAAACAGGAUUAGAUACCCUGGUAGUCCACACGGUAAACGAUGAAUACUCGCUGUUUGCGAUAUACUGCAAGCGGCCAAGCGAAAGCGUUAAGUAUUCCACCUGGGGAGUACGCCGGCAACGGUGAAACUCAAAGGAAUUGACGGGGGCCCGCACAAGCGGAGGAACAUGUGGUUUAAUUCGAUGAUACGCGAGGAACCUUACCCGGGCUUAAAUUGCAGAUGAAUUACGGUGAAAGCCGUAAGCCGCAAGGCAUCUGUGAAGGUGCUGCAUGGUUGUCGUCAGCUCGUGCCGUGAGGUGUCGGCUUAAGUGCCAUAACGAGCGCAACCCUUGUUGUCAGUUACUAACAGGUUCCGCUGAGGACUCUGACAAGACUGCCAUCGUAAGAUGUGAGGAAGGUGGGGAUGACGUCAAAUCAGCACGGCCCUUACGUCCGGGGCUACACACGUGUUACAAUGGGGGGUACAGAGGGCCGCUACCACGCGAGUGGAUGCCAAUCCCAAAAACCUCUCUCAGUUCGGACUGGAGUCUGCAACCCGACUCCACGAAGCUGGAUUCGCUAGUAAUCGCGCAUCAGCCACGGCGCGGUGAAUACGUUCCCGGGCCUUGUACACACCGCCCGUC